GGUGAGUUAGGUAGGAAAUGACCACCUGAAAAAAAUUCUAAAAAUCGUUGUGGAUUGUAAAACUUUUAGAUAAUCUGCUUACGCGAUCUUUGUUCUUUCACACUUUAUUGACUGCAAAGACCCCUACCCAGGUGUUUUCUCUGCUUUGCUUCUCAUUUCAAAAGGAUAUGGCUUAUGGAAAGUAAGUUCCAUUUGCAGAAGGGGAAAAGGAGGAUUUUUGUUUCUUUUCAUUGCAGGUCAGAACUACAUGAAUAGUGACACCUUAACAAGCUGAGUAAUCAAUCUUCAACAGUGGGGUAUUUUUUGUGGACCCAGAGGAUUUAAUUGGACAGGAGCAUUUUAUAAAGACCAAGAAGUUUCUGACAAUAAUAACAACUACCCAUUGACAUUUAUACAGUACUCUGUAGUUGAUAAAGUAUUUUCACAAGUUUCAUGUAGAUUCAUCUCCAGCAUUUAAUGUACUUUAAAAAAGCAACAGCUGACACUCACUGAGUCUUGCUAUAUGUUGGGCAGUUACAUUUAACCCAUUAAAUGAAGCAGUUUAUUAAUCUCCCAAGACAUCCUUAUGUUUUCUCCAUUUUAUAGAUGAGAAAACUGAGGCUCAAAGAAAUUAAAUGACUUCCCCCAAUCAGUCAUUCACACCCACAUGGCCUGCAAAUGGCUGUAGUUGAAUUACUGCCUAAGAGGCUAAUCCUCACCUUGGUAUUUGCAUUGUCUUGAUGGGGUGAGGAGUGAGUUGUCUCUUUCCUUACCUUAUUAAGUGUUCUGUGAAUUCUCACUUCUGCAGGGUCCUAGGUAUUCUAUGGGAAAAAAGGAGGCUUCUGCCUCAGCUAUAGAUCUGAUGAAGGAGAUUGGAUGCAAACAGAGAUUUCAGAGAGGGAAGGCUCAUGGCAUGAAUGAAAUGUGUCUGAAAAUGCUGCCUAACAUUCUUCACAGCAUCAUGCAGGUGGAAAGAUGGGAGAGGAAGAGGCAGGGGUGGGGUAAAGGCUGUGGGAGGAGGUUAGCUAUUUGCUACUGCAUGUUUUUAUAUCUGCUGAAAAUGCAUGAUUACACAGCAUGCUGAUUUAAAUUUGCUUUAGCACCAGAGACAAAAUUCUCAGAAGUAGGAUUAUCAACUGUUCUAUUUAUUAAAUAUCAAGCAAGCUGUGGCUGAAAAUGUUUAAACUAAAACUUAGACUCUUUGAAGGAAACCAAGCUGAACUAUCAUUGCUCAAGGGACCGUGUGCAUUUUCUCAUUAUUGCCAGUGUACUUCGUCAGCAUGAGUGACACCCCUCUUUCCUCUGGCCUUCCGCUCCACUGGCUUGUGGCUAUUAUCCAUUCUCAAGGUGAAGCUAUGAAUAAGCGUAUUGCCAUUUGGAAACCUGAGAGUGUGAGAAUCUUUCCCUUUUGCUCCUAAAUCUGAAUAAUGUUCACAAGCAAUCCAAGCCCGUCUUUCACCUAUGAAGUCAAUAUAGUUCUCAUGCUUUUAUUUGUUUCACCUUUCUGGGCCUCUGUUUUCUCAUCUAUUAAAUGGAGAAACUAGAUAGUUUUGUUUCCUUCUAGUCCUAAUAUCCUAUCGCAUCUAUGAUGGGACUAUCUUGGGAAGAGGACAAAAAGAGAUCAUUAAUGGGGUGCCUCAUUUUAAGUAUAAAAAGUAUGUGUCUAGAAAACUGUAUUUUGAACAUGCCGAAAAUGGUUUUUGAAAGAAAUUUUUAGUGACUUGCUUUGGAAAGUUCUUUUCUCCAACCUCACCUAAUUUGAUGUGCUUUGAUAGCUUGUCUUAAAAUAACCACUUAUCUGAAGUUUUCUGUCUAUAAGACAUAUACUUGUUUUGCCAUGUGCUUGUUAAAUGAUAAAAGCAUCAAUAAAAUUAUUCAUCUCUAUGGUGUUGUGUGGAAAUCAUCUGAAGAGAGUUAAACAUACUAUAUCUGACUCUGGGAGCAUGUCUGAUGUAGCAGUUGCAUGUACAGAUAAAGGGAAAAAAACAAGUUCUUAAAUAUAAUACUUAAAUUGAGUUAUAAGAAACAGCAAAUGGGUGAUUCUGUGUGAAUUCUUAUGUAGUGUAAGGGAAGAGGUGUCAUCACCUAUAGUAAAUCAAAGAGCACAACAUGAAAGACAUCAGAAUUUAUGAACCACAAGGGGAAAGAGUGAAGCCUCAUCUAUUUGGGAAGAAGAAGAUGGGCAUCUGAUAACAUCUGGAGGACUUGAAGAAAGAUGUGGCCUUAAUUCAUUUUGAAGAAGAUCUAACUCAUUUUGAGGAAGAUCUAGUUAUUACUAUAUUUGAAUGGUGAUAGGCAGAAUAAUAGUAUUUCCAAAGAUGUCCAUACCCUAAUUCCUGGAACCUGAGAAUAUGUUACCUUACAUGGCAACAGAGACUUAUGCAGAUGUAAUUAAGGCUAAGGACAUAGAGAUGGGGAGAUCAUUUCAGUUUAUCUGGAUAACUGAGCUAAUCUUCUGGAGUGGCUUUACAAAAGCUCCUGAAAGAGGCACUACACAUAGAAAGGCAUAACCAGUACCAGCCACUCCAGAAACAUACUAAAUGAUGAAGAGCAUCAACAAAAUGAAGAAUCUGCAUCAACUAAUGAGCAAAACAGCCAGCUAGCAUCAAAAUGACAGGAUAAAAUUCCCACAUAACAAUAUUAACCCUAAAUGUAACUGGGCUAAAUGCACCAAUCAAAAGACACAGACUGCCAAAUUGGAUAAAAAGCCAAAACACACCGGUGUGCUGUAUCCAGGAAAUCCAUCUCACAUGCAAGGAUACACAAAGGCUCAAAAUAAAGGGAUGGAGGAAGAUUUAACAAGGAAAUGCAGAGCAAAAAAAAAAAAACGCAGGAGUUGCAAUUCUCGUCUCUGAUAAAAUAGACUUUAAAGCAACAAAGAUCAAAAGAGACGAAGAAGGACAUUACAUAAUGGUAAAAGGAUUGAUACAACAAGAAGAGCUAACGAUUCUAAAUAUAUAUGGACCCAAUACAGGAGUACCCAGAUACAUAAGGCAAGUCUAAUCACAUGAAUCAGUCUAAUCACAUGAAUCUAAUCUCUGGACCUCAGAGAUUAGAAAUCAGAGAACUUUUCUGAGCUGUGAUCAGAGAAAAACAUAUGAUCACAAAAUAAUCGUCAGGGUGAUGUGAUAAUGCUCGCUUUCAAUAUGCAGGAAGUGGGGCUGGGCACAGUAGCUCACACCUGUAAUCUUGGCAUUUUGGAAGGCUGAGGCAUGAGGAUCACUUGAGGCCAGGAGUUCAACACCACUGGCCUGGGUAACAUGGCAAGCCUUUGUCUCCACUAAAAAUUUAAAAAUUAGGUGGUUCACAUCUGUAAUUCCAGCACUUUGGAGGCUGAGGUGAGAGGGUCACCUGAGGUCAGGAGUUCGAGACCAGCCUGACCCAUCUCUACUAAAAAAUUCAAAAAUUAGCUGGGUGUGGUGGCACAUGCCUGUAAUCUCAGCUACUCUGGAGACUGAGGCAAGAGAAUUGCUCGAACUCAGGAGGUGCAGGUUGUGGUAAGCCCAGAGUGCACCAUCACACUCCAGCCUGGGCAACAAGAGUAAAACUCCAUCUCAAAAAAACAACAAAAAAAAAAUUAAAAAAUUAGCUGGUGUGGCGGUGCAUGCCUGUAGUCCUAUCUCCGUGGGAGGAUCACUUAAGCCCAGGAGUUCAAGUUUGCAGUGAGCUGUGAUUGCACCACUGUACUCCAGUCUGGGUGACAGAGAGAGACCCUGUCUUAAAAAGAGAAAAGAUGCAGGAAGGGGCCACCAGCCAAGGGAUGCUGGCAGCUUUUAGAAGCUAGACAAGGCAAGGAAACAGAUUUUUCCCUGAAGCCUCCAUAAAGAAAUACAGCCCUGUCAACGACUUGAUUUUAGUUCAUAAGAUGUGUACUGGAUUUCCAACCUAGGGAAGUAUAAUAUAGUAAGUUUAUGUUGUUGCAAGCAAUUAAAUUUUCAUAAUUUGCUACAGCAGCAACAGAAAACACAUAUUGAUGUUUGUAUUCUCAUAAAUAAAACUCUGAUAUUUCAGUGUGAAAUGACUUUCCAAAAAAAAUCUAGAUUUCAUUCUCAAAACCCUUAUGCUUCAGUGAGAAAGUGUUCAUGCCUUGCAAUGCUGAAACCAGAUCAAAAUAAAAAUUGGAUGUUUCUUUGAUUUCUCUGACUACCUAUGAUCUUCCCUUGACUCAUGCUAACUAACCCUGAACUCCUCUUAUCCUUCCUUGGCCCUUCCAUUGCUAAGCUACCCUAAAAGACCUUCAGUUUGUACUUUGCCAGCUGAAUUAUUUUUGCUAAGUAUUUCAGAUAUUUUUAUGUCGGGCAAGAUCUAAUCUUUCCUUGAGAAUUCCUGCUUUAAUUUAUUGUGCUUAUUAAAAAUAUAUUUGAAUGACCUCAAUUUGUCGGGUCCUUGUUCUUGCUUUUACACCUUAGAUGAAUUUGAAUACUACUUUGCUUUGGAAUAUAAUCUUAGACCGGGGACAGUUUAACUUUUAGAAUAAAAAUUAUAUUCAUUCUGACAUUAUACCAC
Molecule: long non-coding RNA, 4485 nt
Filed under: Callithrix jacchus (white-tufted-ear marmoset)
Lineage: Eukaryota; Metazoa; Chordata; Mammalia; Primates; Cebidae
Description: lncRNA (ENSCJAG00000083173.1)
Source: RNAcentral